ACCCCGGGAAACUGGGGAUAAUUCCGGAUAGAUCAUAAAUGCUGGAAUGCUUUAUGAUUGAAAGGUUUCGACCGCCUUAGGAUGGAUCUGCGGCCUAUUAGGUUGUAGUGGGUGUAAUGUACCUACUAGCCUACGACGGGUACGGGUUGUGGAAGCAAGAGCCCGGAGAUGGAUUCUGAGACAUGAAUCCAGGCCCUACGGGGCGCAGCAGGCGCGAAAACUUUACAAUGCGGGAAACCGUGAUAAGGGAACACUGAGUGCUAGCAUUUAUGUUAGCUGUCCACAUGUGUAAAUAGCAUGUGAUAGCAAGGGCUGGGCAAGACCGGUGCCAGUCGCCGCGGUAACACCGGCAGCCCGAGUGGUGAUCACUAUUAUUGGGUCUAAAGGGUCCGUAGCCGGUUUAAUCAGUCUUCUGGGAAAUCUAAUCGCUUAAACUAUUAGGCUUCCAGGGGAUACUGUUAGACUUGGGACCGGGAGAGGUAAGAGGUACUGCAGGGGUAGGAGUGAAAUCUUGUAAUCCCUGUGAGACCAC
RNAcentral lists this ribosomal RNA (532 nucleotides) under uncultured archaeon. Its description in RNAcentral is "bacterial SSU rRNA". It matches the Rfam family "Archaeal small subunit ribosomal RNA", at positions 129 to 660 of the family's 1478-position model. The record is from RNAcentral.